This 1396-nucleotide ribosomal RNA is filed under the name uncultured bacterium. Its description in RNAcentral is "16S ribosomal RNA". It matches the Rfam family "Bacterial small subunit ribosomal RNA". The record is from RNAcentral.
UUCGCCCUUAGAGUUUGAUCCUGGCUCAGGAUGAACGCUGGCGGCGUGCUUAACACAUGCAAGUCGAACGGGAAACCUUUUAUUGAAGCUUCGGCCGAUUUAAAUUGUUUCUAGUGGCGGACGGGUGAGUAACGCGUGGGUAACCUGCCUUGUACAGGGGGAUAACAGUCAGAAAUGACUGCUAAUACCGCAUAAGCGCACAGAACUGCAUGGCUCGGUGUGAAAAACUCCGGUGGUAUGAGAUGGACCCGCGUCUGAUUAGGUAGUUGGUGGGGUAACGGCCUACCAAGCCGACGAUCCGUAGCCGACCUGAGAGGGUGACCGGCCACAUUGGGACUGAGACACGGCCCAGACUCCUACGGGAGGCAGCAGUGAGGAAUAUUGCGCAAUGGGGGAAACCCUGACCCAGCAACGCCGCGUGAGGGAUGAAGUUUUUCGGAUUGUAAACUUCUGUCCUCUGUGAAGAUAAUGACGGUACCAGAGUAAGAAGCUCCGGCUAACUACGUGCCAGCAGCCGCGGUAAUACGUAGGGAGCAAGCGUUAUCCGGAUUUACUGGGUGUAAAGGGAGCGUAGGCGGAUUGACAAGUCAGAAGUGAAAUCCAUGGGCUUAACCCAUGAACUGCUUUUGAAACUGUCAGUCUUGAGUGCAGUAGAGGUAGGUGGAAUUCCCAGUGUAGCGGUGAAAUGCGUAGAUAUUGGGAGGAACACCAGUGGCGAAGGCGGCUUACUGGGCUUUAACUGACGUUGAGGCUCGAAAGUGUGGGUAGCAAACAGGAUUAGAUACCCUGGUAGUCCACACUGUAAACGAUGAUUACUGGGUGUGGGGGGUCUAACCCUCCUCCGUGCCGCAGCUAACACAAUAUGUAAUCUCCGUGGGGAGUGUGACCGCACGGUUGUGACUCUCAGGAAUUGACGGGGGCCCGCACACGCACUGGAGUAUGUGGUUUAAUUUUACGCGACGCGAAGAGCCCUUCCAGGUCUUGACAUCUACCUAACGAAGCAGAGAUGCAUUAGGUGCCGUUCUCGGAAAGUCGAGACAGGCGGUGCAGUGUUGUGGUCAGCUCGUGUGGUGAGAUGUUGGGUCAAGUCCCGCAACGAGCCCAACCCUUGUGAUUAGUUCAUACGCAAGAGCACUCUAAUCAGACUGCCGUUGACAAACCGGAGGAAGGUGGGGACGACGUCAAAUCAUCAUGCCCUUUAUGACCUGGGCUACACACGUACUACAAUGGUGGUUAACAGAGGGAACCAAUCCCGGGAGGUGGAGCAAAACCCUAAAAUCGGUCUCAGUUCAGAUUGUAGUCUGCAACUCGCCUACAUGAAGCUGGAAUUGCUAGUAAUCGCGGAUCAGCAUGCCGCGGUGAAUACGUUCCCGGGCCUUGUACUCACCGCCCGUCA